GACGAACCGAGCGAACGUUGUUCGGAAUCACUGGGCUUAAAGGGCGCGUAGGCGGGUGCUCAAGUCCGGGGUGAAAUCCUCCAGCUCAACUGGAGAACUGCCUCGGAUACUGGGUGUCUCGAGGGUGGUAGGGGUAUGCGGAACUAUCGGUGGAGCGGUGAAAUGCGUAGAUAUCUACAGGAACGCCGAUGGUGAAGACGGGCAACUGGGCCUUUCCUGACGCUGAGGCACGAAAGCGUGGGGAGCAAACAGG
This 253-nucleotide ribosomal RNA is filed under the name uncultured bacterium. RNAcentral's name for it is "partial 16S ribosomal RNA". It matches the Rfam family "Bacterial small subunit ribosomal RNA", at positions 524 to 776 of the family's 1533-position model. The record is from RNAcentral.